GCCGACAUAGCUCAGAUGGUAGAGCGCGCCCGUGGUAAGGGCGAGGUCUCCGGUUCGACCCCGGAUGUCGGCACCA
RNAcentral lists this transfer RNA (76 nucleotides) under Gluconobacter oxydans. Its description in RNAcentral is "tRNA-Thr". Lineage: Bacteria; Pseudomonadati; Pseudomonadota; Alphaproteobacteria; Acetobacterales; Acetobacteraceae. The record is from RNAcentral. RNAcentral also lists the same sequence under 2 other names.